GCGGGUGUAGCUCAUUUGGCUAGAGCGCUUCCUUGCCAAGGAAGAGGCAGCGGGUUCAAGUCCCGUCACUCGCUCCA
Molecule: transfer RNA, 77 nt
Filed under: candidate division SR1 bacterium
Lineage: Bacteria; Candidatus Absconditibacteriota
Also listed under: 1 other name
Description: tRNA-Gly
Rfam family: tRNA
About the family: Transfer RNA (tRNA) molecules are approximately 80 nucleotides in length.
Source: RNAcentral